AUUGAACGCUGGCGGCAUGCUUUACACAUGCAAGUCGAACGGUAACAGGCCUUCGGGUGCUGCCGAGUGGCGCACGGGUGCGUAAUGCAUCGGAACGUACCCAGAGGUGGGGGAUAACGCAGCGAAAGCUGUGCUAAUACCGCAUGUGAUCUGAGGAUGAAAGCGGGGGACCGAGCAGCAAUGUUUGGCCUCGCGCCUUUGGAGCGGCCGAUGUCGGAUUAGCUAGUUGGUGGGGUAAAGGCCUACCAAGGCGACGAUCCGUAGCUGGUCUGAGAGGACGACCAGCCACACUGGGACUGAGACACGGCCCAGACUCCUACGGGAGGCAGCAGUGGGGAAUUUUGGACAAUGGGCGCAAGCCUGAUCCAGCAAUGCCGCGUGCGGGAAGAAGGCCUUCGGGUUGUAAACCGCUUUUGGCAGGAACGAAACGGUGUCCGCUAAUACCGGGCGCUAAUGACGGUACCUGCAGAAUAAGCACCGGCUAACUACGUG
This 492-nucleotide ribosomal RNA is filed under the name uncultured bacterium. Its description in RNAcentral is "partial 16S ribosomal RNA". It matches the Rfam family "Bacterial small subunit ribosomal RNA", at positions 29 to 507 of the family's 1533-position model. The record is from RNAcentral.